Molecule: ribosomal RNA, 407 nt
Filed under: uncultured bacterium
Lineage: Bacteria
Description: bacterial SSU rRNA
Rfam family: Bacterial small subunit ribosomal RNA
Source: RNAcentral
GUGGGGAAUAUUGGGCAAUGGAGGAAACUCUGACCCAGCAACGCCGCGUGAAGGAUGAAGGUUUUCGGAUUGUAAACUUCUGUCGCAGGGGACGAAGAAUGACGGUACCCUGUAAGAAAGCCCCGGCAAACUACGUGCCAGCAGCCGCGGUAAUACGUAGGGGGCAAGCGUUGUCCGGAAUGACUGGGCGUAAAGGGAGUGUAGGCGGCCAAUCAAGUUACAUGUGAAAUCCCACGGCUUAACCGUGGAACUGCAUGUAAAACUGAAUGGCUGGAGUGCAGGAGAGGUAAGUGGAAUUCCUAGUGUAGCGGUGGAAUGCGUAGAUAUUAGGAGGAACACCAGUGGCGAAGGCGACUUACUGGACUGUAACUGACGCUGAGGCUCGAAAGCGUGGGUAGCAAACAGGA